CACGUAGGCACCAAGCGUUAUCCGGAUUUAUUGGGCGUAAAGAGCUCGUAGGCGGUUCGGUAAGUCGGGUGUGAAAACUCUGGGCUCAACCCAGAGAGGCCACCCGAUACUGCUGUGGCUAGAGUGCGGUAGGGGAGCGGGGAAUUCCUGGUGUAGCGGUGAAAUGCGCAGAUAUCAGGAGGAACACCAGCGGCGAAGGCGCCGCUCUGGGCCGUAACUGACGCUGAGGAGCGAAAGCAUGGGUAGCAAACAGG
This 254-nucleotide ribosomal RNA is filed under the name uncultured bacterium. RNAcentral describes it as "partial 16S ribosomal RNA". It matches the Rfam family "Bacterial small subunit ribosomal RNA", at positions 524 to 776 of the family's 1533-position model. The record is from RNAcentral.